This 444-nucleotide ribosomal RNA is filed under the name uncultured Leptolinea sp. Its description in RNAcentral is "bacterial SSU rRNA". It matches the Rfam family "Bacterial small subunit ribosomal RNA", at positions 923 to 1382 of the family's 1533-position model. Lineage: Bacteria; Bacillati; Chloroflexota; Anaerolineae; Anaerolineales; Anaerolineaceae. The record is from RNAcentral.
GCACAAGCAGCGGAGCGUGUGGUUUAAUUCGAUGCUACACGAAGAACCUUACCAGGUUUGACAUGCAAGUGGUAGGAAACCGAAAGGCGACCGACCUUCGGGGAGCUUGCACAGGUGCUGCAUGGCUGUCGUCAGCUCGUGUCGUGAGAUGUUCGGUUAAGUCCGCUAACGAGCGCAACCCUCGCUGUGUGUUACAAGUGUCACACGGUACCGCCGGUCUUAAGCCGGAGGAAGGUGGGGAUGACGUCAAGUCAGCAUGGCCUUUAUGUCCCGGGCUACACACGUGCUACAAUGGCAGGUACAGAGGGCUGCGAAGCCGCGAGGUGGAGCGAAUCCCAGAAAACCUGUCUCAGUCCGGAUUGAAGUCUGCAACUCGACUUCAUGAAGGCGGAAUCGCUAGUAACCGCGAAUCAGCAGGUCGCGGUGAAUACGUUCCCGGGCCUU